RNAcentral lists this small nuclear RNA (163 nucleotides) under Prolemur simus (greater bamboo lemur). Its description in RNAcentral is "U1 spliceosomal RNA (ENSPSMG00000000022.1)". It matches the Rfam family "U1 spliceosomal RNA". Rfam says of the family: U1 is a small nuclear RNA (snRNA) component of the spliceosome (involved in pre-mRNA splicing). Its 5' end forms complementary base pairs with the 5' splice junction, thus defining the 5' donor site of an intron. There are significant differences in sequence and secondary structure between metazoan and yeast U1 snRNAs, the latter being much longer (568 nucleotides as compared to 164 nucleotides in human). The record is from Rfam by way of RNAcentral. Lineage: Eukaryota; Metazoa; Chordata; Mammalia; Primates; Lemuridae.
AUACUGACUGGCAGGGGACAUACCAUGAUCACCAAGGUGGUUUUCCCAGGGCAAGGUUUAGCCAUUGCACCCCAGAUGUGCUGACCCCUGUGAUUUUCCCAAACCUGGAAAACUCGACUGCACAAUUCAUGGUAGUGGGGGACUAUGUCCGAGUUCGUCCUUG